RNAcentral lists this ribosomal RNA (116 nucleotides) under Serratia marcescens. The record is from RNAcentral. Lineage: Bacteria; Pseudomonadati; Pseudomonadota; Gammaproteobacteria; Enterobacterales; Yersiniaceae.
CUUGGCGGCAAUAGCGCGGUGGUCCCACCUGACCCCAUGCCGAACUCAGAAGUGAAACGCCGUAGCGCCGAUGGUAGUGUGGGGUUUCCCCAUGCGAGAGUAGGACACUGCCAAGC